This 479-nucleotide ribosomal RNA is filed under the name uncultured bacterium. RNAcentral's name for it is "partial 16S ribosomal RNA". It matches the Rfam family "Bacterial small subunit ribosomal RNA", at positions 28 to 507 of the family's 1533-position model. The record is from RNAcentral.
GAUGAACGCUAGCGGGAGGCCUAACACAUGCAAGCCGAGCGGUAUUUGUUCUUCGGAACAGAGAGAGCGGCGCACGGGUGCGGAACACGUGUGCAACCUGCCUUUAUCUGGGGGAUAGCCUUUCGAAAGGAAGAUUAAUACCCCAUAAUAUAUUGAGUGGCAUCAUUUGAUAUUGAAAACUCCGGUGGAUAGAGAUGGGCACGCGCAAGAUUAGAUAGUUGGUGAGGUAACGGCUCACCAAGUCAAUGAUCUUUAGGGGGCCUGAGAGGGUGAUCCCCCACACUGGUACUGAGACACGGACCAGAAGCCUACGGGAGGCAGCAGAGAGGAAUAUUGGACGAGGGGUUAUCGCCUGAUCCAGCCAUCCCGCGUGAAGGACGACGGCCCUAUGAGUUGUAAACUUCUUUUGUAUAGGGAUAAACCUACUCUCGUGAGAGUAGCUGAAGGUACUAUACGAAUAAGCACCGGCUAACUACGUG